UGGGGAAUAUUGCACAAUGGGCGAAAGCCUGAUGCAGCGACGCCGCGUGAGGGAUGACGGCCUUCGGGUUGCAAACCUCUUUCAGUAGGGACGAAGCGCAAGUGACGGUACCUGCAGAAGAAGCACCGGCUAACUACGUGCCAGCAGCCGCGGCAAUACGUAGGGUGCGAGCGUUGCCCGGAAUUACUGGGGGUAAAGAGCUCGUAGGCGGUUUGUCACGUCGUCUGUGAAAUCCUAGGGCUUAACCCUGGACGUGCAGGCGCUACGGGCUGACUUGAGUACUACAGGGGAGACUGGAAUUACUGGUGUAGCGGUGGAAUGCACAGAUAUCAGGAAGAACACCGAUGGCGAAGGCAGGUCUCUGGGUAGUAACUGACGCUGAGGAGCGAAAGCAUGGGUAGCGAACAG
This 408-nucleotide ribosomal RNA is filed under the name bacterium. Its description in RNAcentral is "partial 16S ribosomal RNA". It matches the Rfam family "Bacterial small subunit ribosomal RNA", at positions 355 to 775 of the family's 1533-position model. The record is from RNAcentral.